UGACUGCAGAAAAGAAGGAAGCUACACAAAGCAAAAAUACUCCAGAGAGAUGAACAGAGAAGAAGGAAGAACAAAGUCAUGAUCCUUGUACAGAAGAGAAGAGGAAUUUCAAUAAGCCAAGUUUCACUUGAGCUUCUGUAAAAUUUGCAUAAUCACUUAGGACAGCAAUCUGGGGGAAGUAGGAGCAUCAGAACCAGAGAAGGCUGCAC
This is a long non-coding RNA of Lemur catta (Ring-tailed lemur), 209 nucleotides long. RefSeq lists it as uncharacterized. The transcript is spliced from 3 exons. NCBI's taxonomy places the organism in Eukaryota, Metazoa, Chordata, Mammalia, Primates, Lemuridae. The record is from RefSeq and is a predicted model, not a curated record.